GUGCUGGCUUUGGCAGCACAGAUACUAAAAUUAGAACGAUACAGAGAAGAUUAGCAUGGCCCCUGUGCAAGGAUGACAUGCAAAUUCGUGAAGCGUUCUAUAUGGGG
Myotis lucifugus (little brown bat) is the source of this 107-nucleotide small nuclear RNA. The record is from Ensembl. NCBI's taxonomy places the organism in Eukaryota, Metazoa, Chordata, Mammalia, Chiroptera, Vespertilionidae.